This 4602-nucleotide long non-coding RNA is filed under the name Homo sapiens (human). RNAcentral's name for it is "HSALNT0072855". Lineage: Eukaryota; Metazoa; Chordata; Mammalia; Primates; Hominidae. The record is from RNAcentral.
UAAAAAAUGAUGAGUUCAUGUCCUUUGUAGGGACAUGCAUGAAGCUGGUAACCAUCAUUCUCAGCAAACUAUCGCAAGAAUAAAAAAACAAACACCGCAUAUUCUCACUCAUAGGUGGGAAUUGAACAAUGAGAACACAUGGACACAGGAAGGGGAACAUCACACACCUGGGCCUAUUUUGGUGUGGGGGGAGGGGGGAAGGAUAGCAUUAGGAGAUAUACCUAAGGUUAAAUGAGGAGUUAAUGGGUGCAGCGCACCAACAUGGCACAUGUAUACAUAUGUAACUAACCUGCACAUUGUGCACAUGUACCCUAGAACUUAAAGUAUAAUAAUAAUAAAUAAAUAUAUAUAUAUACACUCAGAUCUUUCUAGGCAGUGGGCAAGGUGAACCCAUUGGGUGGUUACAAUCAAGCAUAAAAAGAAUUAAUUACAUGGAACUAAAUGAACUCAUAAGGAAUAUUAUAAUUUUUAAAUUACUUUUUUGAUUGAGAUAUUGCUGGUUCUUUAAUAUUUUGUUUUUCAAAUUAAAGAAAACUUCUUCUCUUUUUCUCUCAAGCUGUCUAUACCUUACAACAAUCUGGGAAACUAUAAAGAAAAAUAAAAUAUUUAUUUGUUUUCUCUGCCUGAUCUCUCUAGAUUUGGAAACUAUUGUUGAUUAUUCUUAUUUUCAAGGCAAUAUAAAUAUAUGAAUAAGUUCAAUAAGAAUAUGUACUUUUUAUAACAGAAAAUAACUAGAAACAUUGGUUAUAUUGCUAAGCCUUUGACUGGAAGGUCAUAUUUGAAAAUAAUAUGUAUAGAAUCAGAUAUGACUAGAAAGUUUUAAGGAACUAAAUUUGAUUUCAUGGGGCCAAUGAUUACAAAGACCCUUCGAAACUGGCCUUGGACCUGGCUUACAGAAUUCUCAGCCUUACAUGUGAAUAAGGAAGGUCACUUCCCGGCAGGCUCAGGAACCUCCAAAUACAUUGAGUAUCUUGGGAAGAGUGGAUUUCACCCAAAUCUAUAGGUGCCACAGGCAAAGACUGAUGGCAAGUCCAUUGGCUUGGUAUCCUAGCCUCCAGGCGCUUUUAAAAGUCUAAUCUGAGAUUCCUUAUCAUAAGUUCCAGGGAAGCAAAUUCAAAAAAGGACCUAUGUGGUCAAGUACAUUCUUGCUGCACUAAUGUAAAUAAUGAGGAAAAGUUUAAUGGGGUUGGACUUAUUUUGCUAUCAAAUUAGUCUUACUUUGAUAGAAUUGGAAGUAACUAUAGAGAAUAAAAUUAUUCCAAUAUUAUUUCAAACAUAGAAUCUAAUCCUGUUCUCUGUCUUUGAAACUUUGUUAUGUCUCUGUAAAGUAGACUAGAUCAUGCUCAAUUCUAGCAUCCUCCAAUACCUGAUUAUAACUCUUCAAAUUAAUGUUUCCAGUUUUUCUCUCACCCUCUUAAGUUGUUACCACUGAGGGUUAAAACCUUACUGCUCAGGUUCUUGUUAGGAAUAUCUAAAGAAGCCCUGGACAUUGAGACUGGAAACUUCCAUACUAUGCUCUGAGAAGUAACCGUAACUCUUUCAUCACCAGAGGCAUUCAGACUACAAGCCAGGAAAUUUAUUGAAUGGCUACUUCCAUUCUCAUGCCAUCAUCUAAAGACACUUUGAGCCAAAUGUCCUGAAAUCCUGAGUGACUGCCUUCUGGAAUCAAAAACAGAAUUUACAGUUUGUUCUAACCAGUUAUCUUUUUCAUCUUUGUUUUUUUUUUUUUUUUUCACAGAAAUGUGCCUUACUAAAUGCUUGAUUGUUCAUACCAUCUAGAGGAGUUCGGGGAGGGGAGCUCCCUAUUUCUACCUUUAUGGUGUCUCCCGAAAUGAGAUACAAUUAUUUAACUGAACUAUCCUCUUCCUAGGACUGACAGACUAUUUCAAUGGGAUAUGGGACAAUCUACCAACUCAGUUUUUGGACUGUAAAACUUCCUGGGGGAAGUUUCAGUUGGGGUAAUAAUAGGUUCAGUACACAAUACCCCCAAAUAUGGCACCUUGGCAUGCUGAAUACAUAUAUAUUUUUGAUACAGGAUCUUGCUCAGUCACCCAGGCUGGAGUGCAGUACAGCAAUCUUGGCUCACUGCAAUCUCCACCUCCCAGGCUCACGUGAUCCUCCCACCUCAGUCUCCUGAGUAGCUAGGACUACAGGUGAAUGCCAGCAUGCUCUGGUAAUUUUUGCAUUUUUUUGUAGAAACGAGGUCUCACCAUGUUGUCCAGGCUGGACUUGAACUCCUGGGCUCAAGCAAUCCACCUACCUCAGCCUCCCAAAGUGCUGGCAUUACAGGUUGUGAGCCUCUGUGCCCAGCCAGCAUACUGAAUAUUAUAACCUCAAGAGAAACCACUAGUGCAGGAAAAUACCUCUGACAGUCCCCUGAAGCAGAACAUAAGACCAUCAUGUAAGAAGUACUCUCCAAAUACCCAGAGGAAAGGAGCAUUCUUAUCUCUGAGGAUGAAGGAACACAGAGAAAUCUGAAUGAACAGAACUUGCCAACAUUUCUCCAGUCUACUGCUUUUAACUCAUACCCCUUUGUCCUAUCACAUUUUUCCAUGGUUUUCCAUAAUAAUAUGCUUAUUAGGCAAUAUAAUAAUAGGCAAUAUAAUAGGCUUUCCAGGCUAGUAAUAGGCAAUAUAAUAGGCUUUCCAAGCCUAUUGUAAAAGCACUGAAGUUUAAUCACUUUGGGGGUCUUUAUUUCCUUAGGAAGCCUAUGUUAUACAAAACUUAUAUUAAAUAAAAGCAAAAAUUUCUAUUCUUUAUUCUUGUUAAUCUGUUUUUGGUUACAGAGCCCAAGCUGAGAAUCUAUAAGAGCAGGAACAAAAUACUUUUCUUCCCGAGGAGGCGGAGCUCAGGCAGUAAUGCUCGCUCACCUGCUGCUCAACAUCUGCGGCUCAACUUCUGCUGUAUGGCCCUGCUCCUAACAGGCCACAGACCGCUACGGAGGAAUCCUGCUCUACAACACUGGUUACUGUUUGCUUGCCCAGAUUCCACUUCAAGAUUCACAUGUCCUUGUUGCCUUGCAUUUAUUUGCUCCUUUAGCUUAUCUGCUUUGACUUUUUUUUUUUUUUUUCUUUUUUGAGACGGAGUCUCGCUCUGUCGCCCAGGCUGGAGUGCAGUGGCGGGAUCUCGGCUCACUGCAAGCUCCGCCUCCCGGGUUCACGCCAUUCUCCUGCCUCAGCCUCCCAAGUAGCUGGGACUACAGGCGCCCGCCACUACGCCCGGCUAAAUUUUGUAUUUUUAGUAGAGACGGGGUUUCACCGUUUUAGCCGGGAUGGUCUCGAUCUCCUGACCUCGUGAUCCGCCCGCCUCGGCCUCCCAAAGUGCUGGGAUUACAGGCGUGAGCCACCGCGCCCGGCCGACUUCAGUUCUAAUAUAUGUCCAUCCUGCUUUUCCUUACCUUGUUUUUCAGUUGUGGCACCUGUAUUCUUUUAAAUCCCUGAUGGAGGCAAUGUGACAAAGCAGAAAGUCAGGCAGACGAGGAUUCUAAAUGUAGCUCUGGACUACGUAUGUGACAUUUUAAUUAUUAAAACUCCCUGAUGCUCAAUUUCUUCAUCUGGUAAUCAGUAUGAUGCUGCCUUUGCAUGAUUAUUGAUAGACUUACAUCUGAUAAUCUUUGUAAAUGGCCAGCAAACACCUAAAAAAUAGUAGGGAAUACUGCCUUUUUUUUUUUUUUUUUUUUUUUUUAACCAUCCCCUUUUUUCUUUCUUCUCAAUUUGUUUUCAAUAGACUGUAAGUUCAUGAAGACAGGGCCAAUGCCUGCCUUGUUCUUUCUUGUAACAACCACAGAACAUAGAAUAGUGGCACGGUUCAGCUCCACUUAAAGACAUAGUACCUGUCUGAAGGAAAGAAAGGAAUAAAAAAAGAAUCAAUCAAUGAAUCAUUCAUCUUCUGACUUAAAUCCAAUUUCAACUACUGCUUCUACAUCUCACAGCAGAUCUGUGUGCCUGAAUUCCAUUUUUCAUUUUUGUCUUUUUCUUUAUUUUUAUUCUUAUUUUUAUUUUAUUAUUAUUAUACUUUAAGUUUUAGGGUACAUGUGUACAAUGUGCAGGUUAGUUACAUAUGUAUACAUGUGCCAUGCUGGUGUACUGCACCCAUUAACUCGUCAUUUAGCAUUAGGUAUAUCUCCUAAAGCUAUCCCUCCCUCCACCCCCCACCCUACAACAGUCCCGAGAGUGUGAUGUUCUCCUUCCUGUGUCCAUGUGUUCUCAUUGUUCAAUUCCCACCUAUGAAUGAGAAUAUGCAGUGUUUGGUUUUUUGUUCUUGUGAUAGUUUACUGAGAAUGAUGAUUUCCAAUUUCAUCCAUGUCCCUACAAAGGACAUGAACUCAUCAUUUUUUAUGGUUGCAUAGUAUUCCACGGUGUAUAUGUGCCACAUUUUCUUAAUCCAGUCUAUCAUUGUUGGAUAUUUGGUUGGUUCCAAGUCUUUGCUAUUGUGCAUAGUGCCACAAUAAACAUAUGUGUGCAUGUGUCUUUACAGCAGCAUGAUUUAUAGUCCUUUGGGUAUAUACCCAGUAAUGGGAUGCCUGGGUCAAUUGGUAUUUCUAGUUCUAGAUCCCUGAGGAAUCGCCACACUGACUUCCACGAUGGUUGAACUAGUUUACAG